UUCCGUUCAUGGUUAGGAGGUACUGUUAGAAAUUGUACAGCUUUCCUCCCAUCUUCGCUACGUAACAUUGCAUAAGCAGAACCAUCGUCAAGUACUUUUGUUUCCAUCCGUGUUGCCGUAAUAUAAGAUUGUCCUAAAAUCAAUGGAUAAGACGUUGUAUCUUGAACAAAGAAAUGUUGCUCCAUCGCAACAUCUUCAAUCCAAAUUUUGACAUCUCGACAAGCUCCAUAUAAUUCGCCCCGUGUGUUAUUGGCUGCUCGUAUUGUCCAUCCAUGUUCCAUAUCAAUUGGCCAUUUUUUCUUCUUAUAAAGAUCUUUAGACAUAAGAUUUAUUUCAGAACCAUGGUCGACUAAAACAACAAUUGGUUCUUCU
RNAcentral lists this long non-coding RNA (372 nucleotides) under Physcomitrium patens. Its description in RNAcentral is "long non-coding RNA (PPAT_LNC008971)". The record is from RNAcentral. Lineage: Eukaryota; Viridiplantae; Streptophyta; Bryopsida; Funariales; Funariaceae.